AAUAAUGCGCAAUGGAGGGAACUCUGACGCAGCGACGCCGCGUGAGCGAUGAAGGUCUUCGGAUCGUAAAGCUCUGUCCUUGGGGAAGAAGGUCUUCGGACUUGACGGUACCUAAGGAGGAAGCACCGGCUAACUCCGUGCCAGCAGCCGCGGUCAUACGUAGGGGGCAAGCGUUGUCCGGAAGUAUUGGGCGUAAAGGGUUGGUAGGCGGGCUUUUAAGUCAGAUGUGAAAGCCCACGGCUUAACCGUGGGACUGCAUUUGAAACUGGAGGGCUUGAGUAUCGGAGAGGGUAGUGGAAUUCCCAGUGUAGCGGUGGAAUGCGAAGAUAUUGGGAGGAACACCAGUGGCGAAGGCGACUACCUGGACGAAAACUGACGCUGAGGCACGAAAGCUAGGGGAGCAAACA
This 407-nucleotide ribosomal RNA is filed under the name uncultured bacterium. RNAcentral describes it as "partial 16S ribosomal RNA". It matches the Rfam family "Bacterial small subunit ribosomal RNA", at positions 360 to 774 of the family's 1533-position model. The record is from RNAcentral.